GAUGAAGAACGCAGCGAAAUGCGAUAAGUAGUGUGAAUUGCAGAAUUCAGUGAAUCAUCGAAUCUUUGAACGCACAUUGCGCCCUUUGGUAUUCCUUAGGGCAUGCCUGUUCGAGCGUCAUUUAAACCUUCAAGCUAAGCUUGGUGUUGGGUGACUGUCCGCUUCACUGCGGACUCGCCUCAAAAUUAUUGGCGGCCGGUACAUUGGCUUCGAGCGCAGCAGAAACGCGAACUCGGGCCCGUCGUAUUGGCUCCCAGAAGCUAUCUUCACAAUUUUGACCUCGGAUCAGGUAGGGAUACCCGCUGAGCUUAAGCAUAUCAAUAAGCGGAGGA
This 332-nucleotide unclassified non-coding RNA is filed under the name soil metagenome. RNAcentral describes it as "partial contains 5.8S ribosomal RNA, internal transcribed spacer 2, and large subunit ribosomal RNA". The stretch from base 1 to 120 matches the Rfam family "5.8S ribosomal RNA", at positions 35 to 154 of the family's 154-position model. The record is from RNAcentral.